This 270-nucleotide unclassified non-coding RNA is filed under the name Hevea brasiliensis (rubber tree). The record is from RNAcentral. Lineage: Eukaryota; Viridiplantae; Streptophyta; Magnoliopsida; Malpighiales; Euphorbiaceae.
CGUCCAAAUAAAAUUCAAAAUUUUCAUGUAAACAAAAGCCAGGUAAUUAAUUUGAUGGAAUUUAAUAACUAUAUUUACAACCACAAAUAAUAGCUCCUCCUUCAACCUUCUUCUCUAGUUUUGUCCACCCCACUCUCAUAACAAACAAAAGGAACAUCAAAAAUUCUAGGAGAAAAAAAAAAACACCAGGCCCCAAAUCCUAGUUACCAAAAAAGAUUUUGCAAAAGGAUUAAAAAUAUUUUAAAAAAAAAAAGGAAUAAGAAAAAAUCU